UACGUAGGUGACCAGCGUUGUCCGGAUUUACUGGGCGUAAAGAGCGCGCAGGCGGUCGUUCAAGUCGAGUGUGAAAGCCCCCGGCUCAACUGGGGAGGGUCAUUCGAUACUGAUCGACUGGAAGGCAGGAGAGGGAAGCGGAAUUCCCGGUGUAGUGGUGAAAUGCGUAGAUAUCGGGAGGAACACCAGUGGCGAAGGCGGCUUCCUGGCCUGUUCUUGACGCUGAGGCGCGAAAGCUAGGGGAGCAAACAGG
This 253-nucleotide ribosomal RNA is filed under the name uncultured bacterium. Its description in RNAcentral is "partial 16S ribosomal RNA". It matches the Rfam family "Bacterial small subunit ribosomal RNA", at positions 524 to 776 of the family's 1533-position model. The record is from RNAcentral.